UGGUGGAGUGGUUUGUCUGGUUAUUUCCUUUAAUGAACGAGACAUUGACCUACUAACUAGCAUCACACUGCUGCUGUUGUGUGGCAGACUUCUUAGAGGAUCUUUGUGUGCCCAGCAUGCGGAAGUUUGAGGCAAUAACA
RNAcentral lists this ribosomal RNA (140 nucleotides) under uncultured eukaryote. RNAcentral describes it as "partial 18S ribosomal RNA". It matches the Rfam family "Eukaryotic small subunit ribosomal RNA", at positions 1299 to 1458 of the family's 1831-position model. The record is from RNAcentral.